This is a long non-coding RNA of Brienomyrus brachyistius, 1691 nucleotides long. RefSeq lists it as uncharacterized. The transcript has 4 exons. The record is from RefSeq and is a predicted model, not a curated record. Lineage: Eukaryota; Metazoa; Chordata; Actinopteri; Osteoglossiformes; Mormyridae.
CUGAAAAAAUUUAGUCACGUAGUUUUCUUAGACGGUGUAUUACAAAGAGCAAAAAGUUUUUUCUUUUGGAGAUACACCGAAAUAUUAAAGAAAUAUUCAGAGAGCGAGACAACAUUGGUUGUGAUGGCUGAACGUUUUUUCCUGCUACUAGUCACCCAUGAGGCACGGAGCAGCCGCGUGAGCACAUUUUGACCAGAGGUCAGGUCCUUUUAGCGGGAACCUAAACUUCCUGGAGCUGCAUUCGAAUAUCGUUGGAUGUUGAUGCUGGAACUGGCGUGAACAGGAAGUUGGGGGAGGCACUCAAUGGUAGGGCGUCACUGCACUUACUCAGUACUUCCUCUACAGCUCUCUGUGUAGAAAAAUUGAGUUUUCAGUUACCAUGGCAUUCACAAGGUCCAAGGAGGACGACACUAAUUCAGUAUACCCCAGCUUUAUCCAUGCAAAACACCAAGACAAGCUUAAGCUACAGAAUGGUAACAGAGAUGGGACAGGACAAGGAUUCACUAUUGUGAAUAGCACAUCUUUACCUCAACCACUUUGACCAACUCGACCAGGUCAAUUUGGCGUGACUCCACAGGCUGGGGGAUCUCAAGACUGCUCUGCUUUGCAUCCUCCAGUAAAGGCUCAACUGCGAGAAAGCAUGGAUUUGCCAGGUCAAGCGUCUGAGCCUGAGGAACUGAGAGAUGAUCUACUAGUGUGAUUUAUGCUGAUGGAAUUUACCUCUGGAUCGCUUCUUUUGUAGCAGGAAGGGUAAAUACCAGUGACCUCAGCAGACCAGCUAAUCAUCCACAUCCCACCAGUUUGCAAGUGGACCAACCUUUGUGAAGAACUUGUGGCCACGGAUAUUCUGCGAUGACGGGCGAUCCCGUGGGUCGAUUUGAAAUAUUUUGCCCAUCAGUUUCCCAGCUUCAAUACCGAGGUUCUGGGGUAGAAUAAAUUUAGCUUCUUUGAUGUUCUUUAUCAUUUCACAGCGAUCGUCGUGAUCGAAUGGGAUUUCCCCAACCAGAAGCUGGUACCUGUAGUAAGAAAGGCAGCAAAGGUGUUUGAGGUCUUUCACAUUUGACAUAAAAAUGCUGUGCUUCCAAAAGAGCAAUUCCUCUCAACUGUGUGCCAGUAUUCAUUUUUCUUUUCUAUUUCAAGUAGAAAAAAAAACAUAUUUAUGUAUGUUAGACACAUGUCUUCUUAAAAUGUUAGACAGAUUUUAUUAGCCAUGCUGAUCUUUGGCCGGGAGGAGGGUUGAUAGGGUAUACGUACAUGACACAGCCCAGUGCCCAGACUUCUGCUUCUGUUCCAUGGCCCUCCCGUUUCCACACUUCUGGAGCCAUGUAGACUGGAGUACCACACACUUUUCUACAACACACACAAAUGGAAAACGUUAAGCGCACAUGUGCUUUAGUUUGCUGUAUAAACAAAUUUGAAAGCUUAGCCAGGAAUUCUGCAAAAAACACCUACUUCUCCCUCGGCUCCAGCUUGACCGCCAGUCCAAAAUCUCCAAUUUUCAGUUCCAUUUUGUCAUUCACAAAUAAAUUUUCUGAAAGACAAACGAAUUUGCAUUAAGGAUAGACUCAAAUACUUUGCCAAACUGCAGACUUUACCAAAUUGAUAAAUUAACACUACACAGAAAUCCAGACGAGCUACACUCGCAAUGCCAUGUGAAAUGCCAGCAUUAUUAAACAGAGAAUUGAGUAAAG